UUGAACGCGGGCGGCAUGCCUUACACAUGCAAGUCGAACGGCAGCACGGGGGCAACCCUGGUGGCGAGUGGCGAACGGGUGAGUAAUACAUCGGAACGUGUCCUGUAGUGGGGGAUAGCCCGGCGAAAGCCGGAUUAAUACCGCAUACGAUCUACGGAAGAAAGCGGGGGAUCGCAAGACCUCGCGCUAUAGGGGCGGCCGAUGGCAGAUUAGCUAGUUGGUGGGGUAAAGGCCUACCAAGGCGACGAUCUGUAGCUG
This 258-nucleotide ribosomal RNA is filed under the name Burkholderia sp. ISOM061_OTU58. RNAcentral describes it as "partial 16S ribosomal RNA". It matches the Rfam family "Bacterial small subunit ribosomal RNA", at positions 30 to 289 of the family's 1533-position model. RNAcentral also lists the same sequence under 1 other name. The record is from RNAcentral. Lineage: Bacteria; Pseudomonadati; Pseudomonadota; Betaproteobacteria; Burkholderiales; Burkholderiaceae.